This 375-nucleotide ribosomal RNA is filed under the name uncultured organism. RNAcentral's name for it is "partial 16S ribosomal RNA". It matches the Rfam family "Bacterial small subunit ribosomal RNA", at positions 526 to 896 of the family's 1533-position model. The record is from RNAcentral.
GGGGGGGGGCAAGCGUUGUUCGGAAUUACUGGGCGUAAAGGGCGCGCAGGCGGCGGGAAAGUCUCUCGUGAAAUCCCACGGGCUCAACCGUGGAAUUGCGGGAGAUACUACUCGUCUUGAGUUCCGGGAGAGGAGUGUGGAAUUCCCAGUGUAGCGGUGAAAUGCGUAGAUAUUGGGAGGAACACCGGUGGCGAAGGCGGCACUCUGGACCGAUACUGACGCUGAGGCGCGAAAGCUAGGGGAGCAAACGGGAUUAGAUACCCCCGGUAGUCCUAGCUGUAAACGCUGAGCACUUGGUGUAGCGGGUAUCGACCCCUGCUGUGCCGAAGCUAACGCAUUAAGUGCUCCGCCUGGGGAGUACGGUCGCAAAGGCUG